This 497-nucleotide ribosomal RNA is filed under the name uncultured bacterium. RNAcentral's name for it is "partial 16S ribosomal RNA". It matches the Rfam family "Bacterial small subunit ribosomal RNA", at positions 28 to 507 of the family's 1533-position model. The record is from RNAcentral.
GAUGAACGCUGGCGGCGUGCCUAACACAUGCAAGUCGAACGAACAGACACGAAGCUUGUUCCUUUGACGUUAGCGGCUGACGGGCGUGUUACGCGUGGAUCCUCUACUUAUAUUUCGGGGAAGACUUCGGGAAUCCGGAUACAAUACCACACUAUAUAUCACACCGUAUGGUUCAGUGGAAAAUGGCGACUUUGCUGUCACUUAUAGAUGGACUCGCGGCGCAUUAGCUAGGUGGUAAGGUAACAGCUUACCAAGGCACCGAUGCGUAGCCGAGCUGAGAGGGUGAUCAGCCACACUGGAACUGAGACACGGUCCAGACUCCUACGGGAGGCAGCAGUAGGGAAUCUUGGGCAAUGGGCGGAAGCCUGACGAAGCAACGCCGCGUGGGUGAAGAAGGGCUUCGGGUCGUAAAACUCUGUUAUUGGGGAAGAACAACUGCAGAAGUAACGAUGCACGUCGUGACGGUACCUAAAGAGAAAGCCACGGCUAACUACGUG